This 460-nucleotide ribosomal RNA is filed under the name uncultured bacterium. RNAcentral's name for it is "partial 16S ribosomal RNA". It matches the Rfam family "Bacterial small subunit ribosomal RNA", at positions 338 to 795 of the family's 1533-position model. The record is from RNAcentral.
CCUACGGGAGGCAGCAGUGAGGAAUAUUGGUCAAUGGGCGAGAGCCUGAACCAGCCAAGUCGCGUGAAGGAUGACGGCCCUACGGGUUGUAAACUUCUUUUGUCAGGGAGCAAUUGGGUCCACGCGUGGGCUUAGCGAGAGUACCUGAAGAAAAAGCAUCGGCUAACUCCGUGCCAGCAGCCGCGGUAAUACGGUGGAUGCGAGCGUUAUCCGGAUUUAUUGGGUUUAAAGGGUGCGUAGGCGGAAUAUCAAGUCAGCGGUAAAAAUUCGGGGCUAAACCCCGUCGUGCCGUUGAAACUGAUGUUCUUGAGUGGGCGAGAGGUAGGCGGAAUGCGUGGUGUAGCGGUGAAAUGCGUAGAUAUCACGCAGAACUCCGAUUGCGAAGGCAGCAUACCGGCGCCCAACUGACGCUGAAGCACGAAGGCGUGGGGAUCGAACAGGAUUAGAUACCCUGGUAGUC